Molecule: ribosomal RNA, 500 nt
Filed under: uncultured bacterium
Lineage: Bacteria
Description: partial 16S ribosomal RNA
Rfam family: Bacterial small subunit ribosomal RNA
Source: RNAcentral
AUUGAACGCUGGCGGAAUGCUUUACACAUGCAAGUCGAACGGCAGCACGGACUUCGGUCUGGUGGCGAGUGGCGAACGGGUGAGUAACAUAUCGGAACGUAUCCAAUAAUGGGGGAUAACUAAUCGAAAGGUUGGCUAAUACCGCAUACGCACUACGGGGGAAAGCAGGGGAGCUUCGGACCUUGCGUUAAUGGAGCGGCGGAUAUCUGAUUAGCUAGUUGGUGAGGUAAAGGCUCACCAAGGCGACGAUCAGUAGCUGGUCUGAGAGGACGACCAGCCACACUGGAACUGAGACACGGUCCAGACUCCUACGGGAGGCAGCAGUGGGGAAUUUUGGACAAUGGGCGCAAGCCUGAUCCAGCCAUUCCGCGUGAGUGAAGAAGGCCUUCGGGUUGUAAAGCUCUUUCGCAAGGGAAGAAAACUUACUUUCUAAUAAAGAGUGAGGUUGACGGUACCUUGAUAAGAAGCACCGGCUAACUACGUGCCAGCCGCCGCAGUAA